UACAGCCAUAUCAUGAGGAAAUACUGAUUCCCGUAUGAUCACCAAAAUUAAGCAACAUCAAGCCUGGUCAGUACCUAAACGGGUGACCACUUGGGAAUACCAGGUGCUGUAAG
Molecule: non-coding RNA, 113 nt
Organism: Acanthosepion pharaonis
Lineage: Eukaryota; Metazoa; Mollusca; Cephalopoda; Sepiida; Sepiidae
Source: the annotation of a GenBank genome assembly